Molecule: long non-coding RNA, 495 nt
Filed under: Salvia miltiorrhiza (redroot sage)
Lineage: Eukaryota; Viridiplantae; Streptophyta; Magnoliopsida; Lamiales; Lamiaceae
Description: long non-coding RNA (SMIL_LNC013621)
Source: RNAcentral
ACCACGGCGACGGCAUAUAACCGGCCUUUUCGGUCUUGCUUUUCGGUAAGGCGCUGCCUCUUUGUGAGCUCACGGCGACGGCAUCUAACCGGCCGUGUAGCUCCGCUUUGUAGUGUGGGUUUUUUGGUUGGUUUCACGGCGACGGCGUCUAACCGGCUGUGUUUCUUGGUCUUUUUGUUUUGUGUUUGUUUUUUGUUGGCCUUUAGGCGACGGCGUUUAACCGGCCUUUGGCCUUUGUUUUGUUUUCUUGGGUGGAGAGCCGGGUUUGUUUGGGGACGAUGGUUAGGCCGGAGUUCUGGAAACUUUCCCUUCCGCUCUCUCCCUUUUCUGCUUUUGUCUUUUAGACGGGUACUCUUUUUCCUUUUUGCGGUUUUUCCCACUGGGUUUUCUGCAAAAAGGUUUUAAUGAGGCUCGGCCCUUAGUCUGCUUUUCUUGUGCUUUCAAGGGUUUUCUAGGUUUUUUCUUUUUUCCUUUUUUAAUAAAAUCGCAUUUUAA